UUGAUAGAAGCCAAAAAAGAGGCUUAUUACUGUUAAUGAUAAAACUGAAAUUAUUUCCUAUCAAA
RNAcentral lists this transfer RNA (65 nucleotides) under Ombrastacoides huonensis. Its description in RNAcentral is "tRNA-Asn". Lineage: Eukaryota; Metazoa; Arthropoda; Malacostraca; Decapoda; Parastacidae. The record is from RNAcentral.